UCCACCUUCCGAUGGCGGUUUCGCCGGAAAUUGCAACCGGCAAUAGGGGUUGCGCUCGUUGAGGGACUGAACCCAACACCUCACGGCACGAGCUGACGACAGCCAUGCAGCACCUGUGACGCUGCCCCGAAGGGAACACGAUUUCUCGUGCGUUCAACGCCAUGUCAAAUCCUGGUAAGGUUCUUCGCGUUGCAUCGAAUUAAACCACACGCUCCGCUGCUUGUGCGGGUCCCCGUCAAUUCCUUUGAGUUUUAACCUUGCGGUCGUACUCCCCAGGCGGACCACUUAUCGUGUUGACUGCGCCACGGAAGGGGUCGAUCCCCCCACGGCUAGUGGUCAUCGUUUACGGCCAGGACUAC
RNAcentral lists this unclassified non-coding RNA (359 nucleotides) under uncultured Ktedonobacteraceae bacterium. RNAcentral describes it as "contains 16S-23S intergenic spacer region". The record is from RNAcentral. Lineage: Bacteria; Bacillati; Chloroflexota; Ktedonobacteria; Ktedonobacterales; Ktedonobacteraceae.